UUUUGUCUCAAGCGCCUGAUACAUGUCAGUCCUUAGUUUCGCCGUUCAGAGUUUUGGUGACUUUAAUUUAUUAAGAGUUUUUUCUAGCAAUAAAGUUGCGUUUUGAGUUCCAGUCCCGUCUUUGAGAGUCCUGCAUUUUGGGUCCUUUUUACUGCCUGCCUGCACACAGCCUAACAUGAUAAUAUAGGUAUAAGUGAUUCCAGAGUACCAAAGAUCUGGUUCAGUUCUUGCUCGGUCAUGAUGGAUAGCUUGAGCAUUGGGUCGUGGUAGGCCUACAGCACACGCAUAAAGAAACACAGAGGUUGUGCCGCUCCCAGUCGGACGUCAAAUGUCUCGCUCCACAGCUUGCUGUCCCGACGCUUGGAGGCCGGAGCAGCUGCGGUUGAAACCCUCGGGGCAGUCAUGGAGGACGAAGGGUUUGAGAGUGUCGCUGAGAUAACACGUGUCUUUGUCGAGGAGGAAGGAGGAGGAGGAGCAGCUCUCUCUGCCUCAUUACGAAGACUGAUGUGUCUGGCCAAUCCUCUUCAGCGGCGUUGUCUUGACGGGGGGCAGCAGGCUGGCCAGAGAUGCUACCCGGGAUACAGGCUUACUGCGCUUGGUGCUGGGCUCCUGGAAGGGGUGAACAGAGCCACAUGGUUACAUUAUCUCACAAAAUCAACACACCUGGGAUACAAACGACCCAAAGGGUUAACAAGGACACCAAUUAAUCAACCAAACAUCAAUACCAGCAGACAUUUUUCUUGUUUUAUAUCAGCCAGUCAGAGGUUUCUGUGUGUGCAAAUGUUCUAGUUGAUUGUGGGAAAGCCGACUCUGGUUUGUUGACAUAUUAUACAAUAGCAUGACUCAAAAGUCUUUCCCUCAGUACCAGACUUUAUCACACACGCAGUCAUGUUUUACUAACUUAUGUCACGCACACACUAAACAGGACGGUUGUUACGGUCACUGUGUGAGACUGGAUGAUCAUGGAGACAAGAGGCUGUUGUGGUUUCAUGUAAAGCUUAAAUUUAACAUGGAUUUUGCUUUAGCCAAUUAUUUUUAUAACACUGAAAUCCCUACAAAUUCAUGUAUUACGUGUAGCAGCUGAUCUCAAAGCGAAUGUGGACAUCCAUGUUAGUUCUAUAUUAUUGAGAUUACAUGUAGAUUGUUGUUUGUAAAUAAAAAAAAAUAAAAACAAUUUUUAGUGCAGUGACACUUUGGAGUCAAUGGAAUAAGUUUUCAAACAUAUCUUUAAAUAAAUUUUCAUCAAAGAAUGACA
Long non-coding RNA from Maylandia zebra (zebra mbuna), 1255 nucleotides. RefSeq lists it as uncharacterized. The record is from RefSeq and is a predicted model, not a curated record. Lineage: Eukaryota; Metazoa; Chordata; Actinopteri; Cichliformes; Cichlidae.